UUAAUUGAAGAGUUUGAUCAUGGCUCAGAUUGAACGCUGGCGGCAGGCCUAACACAUGCAAGUCGAGCGGUAACAGGGGAAGCUUGCUUCUCGCUGACGAGCGGCGGACGGGUGAGUAAUGUAUGGGGAUCUGCCCGAUAGAGGGGGAUAACCACUGGAAACGGUGGCUAAUACCGCAUAAUCUCUUAGGAGCAAAGCAGGGGAACUUCGGUCCUUGCGCUAU
RNAcentral lists this ribosomal RNA (223 nucleotides) under Providencia rettgeri. Its description in RNAcentral is "partial 16S ribosomal RNA". It matches the Rfam family "Bacterial small subunit ribosomal RNA", at positions 1 to 221 of the family's 1533-position model. Lineage: Bacteria; Pseudomonadati; Pseudomonadota; Gammaproteobacteria; Enterobacterales; Morganellaceae. The record is from RNAcentral.